AUUGAACGCUGGCGGAAUGCUUUACACAUGCAAGUCGAACGGUAGAGGGGGCAACCCCUCGAGAGUGGCGAACGGGUGAGUAAUAUAUCGGAACGUGCCCAGUCGUGGGGGAUAACGUAGCGAAAGUUACGCUAAUACCGCAUACGGUCUAAGGAUGAAAGCGGGGGAUCGCAAGACCUCGCGCGAGUGGAGCGGCCGAUAUCAGAUUAGGUAGUUGGUGGGGUAAAGGCUCACCAAGCCAACGAUCUGUAGCUGGGCUGAGAGGACAACCAGCCACACUGGAACUGAGACACGGUCCAGACUCCUACGGGAGGCAGCAGUGGGGAAUUUUGGACAAUGGACGCAAGUCUGAUCCAGCCAUUCCGCGUGCAGGAUGAAGGCCCUCGGGUUGUAAACUGCUUUUGUACGGAACGAAAAGGUCUCUCUUAAUACGGGGGACUCAUGACGGUACCGUAAGAAUAAGCACCGGCUAACUACGUGCCAGCAGCCGCCGCAG
This 496-nucleotide ribosomal RNA is filed under the name uncultured bacterium. Its description in RNAcentral is "partial 16S ribosomal RNA". It matches the Rfam family "Bacterial small subunit ribosomal RNA", at positions 30 to 523 of the family's 1533-position model. The record is from RNAcentral.